RNAcentral lists this long non-coding RNA (649 nucleotides) under Brassica napus (rape). RNAcentral describes it as "long non-coding RNA (BNAP_LNC019644)". The record is from RNAcentral. Lineage: Eukaryota; Viridiplantae; Streptophyta; Magnoliopsida; Brassicales; Brassicaceae.
AAAGCUUCAAACUUGUUUCUCAACGUUUCAAAACAAGAACUCAGAUUCUUUCGAACCUGGCUCUGAUACCAUAUGAGAUUUAGAGAAUCUGAGUUGUAUAUGAGAGAGUAGUAUGAUUUAGGUUGAGUAGAGAAAGGAUUAGUGACUAAUGGAUAAUCAUGAUCGAAAUGUGUAGAGAGAUUAAUAGGAUAGAACUGUCUAAUCUUAUUAUGAGAUGGGAUUACAAUACUUAUAGGAGAUACAUUAGGGUUUACAAGUAAGGAGAAAUGGCACUAGUCAUAAGCAUGUGAAGUCAAGUCAAGGAGGGAGCGCUUCUUUUGAAUUCAACGGACGGUAAGGCUCACAUGCUUUCGCUUUGCCUUUACAGCCUGUCCAAAGACUGAAUGGAUAAGGCUCGUCCCGCCCUUAUCUCUAAACGGUCUGAUCAGUCUUAAACCUUCCGUGUACUCUAGAGGCUUCACUCAUCCAACUCCUUCUUCCUUCAUGUUUCCUAAGCUGUACGGUCAUGCCCUAUCCGUACAUGAUCUAUCCGUACAUGCCCUAUCCGUACAUAGGCCGUACACUCUUCCAUUACUUGCCCAACUCCUCUUCUCCUUACCAUAAUGACUUCCUCAUCUCAACACUCCCCCUCAAGCUUAGCUUUGUGAAA